RNAcentral lists this transfer RNA (73 nucleotides) under Marmota monax (woodchuck). Its description in RNAcentral is "tRNA.Ala". Lineage: Eukaryota; Metazoa; Chordata; Mammalia; Rodentia; Sciuridae. The record is from RNAcentral.
UGGGGCUGUAGCUCAGUGGUAGAGCACUUUCCUAGCAUGUGUGAGGCACUGGGAUCAAUUCUCAACACCACAA